AUUGAACGCUGGCGGCAGGCCUAACACAUGCAAGUCGAACGGUAACAGGAAACAGCUUGCUGUUUCGCUGACGAGUGGCGGACGGGUGAGUAAUGUCUGGGAAACUGCCUGAUGGAGGGGGAUAACUACUGGAAACGGUAGCUAAUACCGCAUAACGUCGCAAGACCAAAGAGGGGGACCCUCGGGCCUCUUGCCAUCGGAUGUGCCCAGAUGGGAUUAGCUGGUUGGUGGGGUAACGCCUCACCAAGGCGACGAUCCCUAGCUGGUCUGAGAGGAUGACCGGCCACACUGGAAGUGAAACACGGUCCAGACUCCUACGGGAGGCAGCAGUGGGGAAUAUUGCACAAUGGGCGCAAGCCUGAUGCAGCCAUGCCGCGUGUAUGAAGAAGGCCUUCGGGCUGUAAAGUACUUUCAGCGGGGAGGAAGGGAGUAAAGUUAAUACCUUUGCUCAUUGACGUUACCCGCAGAAGAAGCACCGGCUAACUCCGUG
RNAcentral lists this ribosomal RNA (490 nucleotides) under uncultured bacterium. RNAcentral's name for it is "partial 16S ribosomal RNA". It matches the Rfam family "Bacterial small subunit ribosomal RNA", at positions 30 to 507 of the family's 1533-position model. The record is from RNAcentral.